This is an RNA transcript of Capsicum annuum, 2256 nucleotides long. It is a transcript of the gene named tyrosine-protein phosphatase RLPH2, with no coding region annotated. The record is from RefSeq and is a predicted model, not a curated record. NCBI's taxonomy places the organism in Eukaryota, Viridiplantae, Streptophyta, Magnoliopsida, Solanales, Solanaceae. The transcript has a single exon.
AUGGAGGACAAUAAUCCACCAACCCCCACAAAACCAAGAGUGGUAAUUUGUGUAGGUGACAUCCACGGCUACAUAGAAAAGUUUCAAAAUUUAUGAUCAAAUCUUGAAUCUUGCAUUGAACCAUCUGAUUUUGAGACUGCCCAUAUCAUUUUCUUGGGUGAUUAUUGUGAUAGAGGUCCAAUACUAGUAAAGUUCUUGACUUUUUCAUUGCUUUACCUUCAAAGUAUCCUAAACAAUCCCAUGUUUUUCUGUGUGGAAAUCAUGAUUUUGCAUUUGGGGCAUUCUUGGGUGGUUUUGUGAGACAUGGAAAGAGUAUGAAAUGAAUGAAGAAAGAGAGGGGUAGUAUAAAGGUGAAGGCUUUGAGAAUAUGCACUUGCAAGGGAGGAGAUGGGCUGGGAAUCAUAGUGUUAAGUUUAAUGCUGUAAAGGGUAUUGAUUAUAAAGGGUCUAUUUAUGAUGCUGCUCCUACUUUUGAGUCUUACGGUGUUCCUCAUGGUUCUGCUGGUAUGGUUCCUUAAUUCCCUCCCCCUUUGUUUUGCUGGUGUUUUUGGAUUUUGUGUUGGAUUGUUUGCUAAUUAGAUAUGAUUCCUGUUUUUCCCUUCCUAAUUGAUGGUGAAUUUGUUGUUUAUUGUGAUUCGGUUAUCGCACUACUUUGUUGUUGUUACUGUUUCGUUAUUAGCUGCUAUGUUUUCUUCACUGUUGUUUUUGCAUUCCAUACCUACUUCCGAGGGUCUUCCGGAACAACUUCUCUACCUAUACGACGUAGGCCUAAGGUCUGUGUAGUCUACCCUCCCCAUACCGCACUUGUGGGACUUCACUGGGUAUGUUGUUGUUGUUGUUGUUGUUUGUUGUAAUUGAUGGUGAAUUUCAGACUACUGUGCUAGUUGUGAAAAUAGUUUAUUUCUCUUUUAUGAUCCGUUUUCUACAUAGUAACGGUGAUUGUGGAUCAUUCUUUUUUUUAGCUGAUGGUAAGUUGAGCUUUUGUACUGGUGUUUCGGAGUGAUUCCAUUUAUCAGUAGCUUGUGUUCUGUCUUUUACAUGAUGCGACCUGUUUUUUCCCUCAUACUGUGGUUUCCGAAAUUCAGAACUUGAACCUAUGGACCAGUGUAGUACCAAACAGUAUGCUGACGAGAUUCGAAUGUACAUGCUAUUCGCAAAUGAUAUUGUAUCUAAAUCUAACAUGGGAAUUCUCCAAUAGUUGGAAUUGAUAAGAAUUUUAGAGAGUGAGGCUUUGGGACGAAAUGGGCUGAGAAUCGUCUUGUUAAGUUUAAUGCUGUAAAGGGUAGCUCCUACUUUUGAUACUAUUGGUGUUCCUCAUGGUUCUGCCGGAAAAAGGUCCUGUUAAAUUUAUAUGAGGUCGAGGAUACACGUUUUCACCCAAUACAUACGUGAUCUACUAUUUUCACCCCUCAUAUUUUGGUUCCCAAGUCCUAAUUAAAUACUUGUUUACUCUACGUAUGAAUCCUCACAUUAUGGUUCCUAGCUGCAUAGUACUUGUUUACUCUAUUUAUGGAUUGGGUAUUAUUACCAACAAUAUCCAGGAUGAUAUCCCCAUGAUACAUGCUACUUGUAAAUGGAAUCGUAUUUAUUGAGAAAUGUAACAAGGGAGUCAUUCAGAAGCUAAAAAUAAUUAACAGCAACAACAUACCCAGUGCAAUCUCACAGGCGCAAGGUUUGUUUCUACUAACUGCAUAAGCUAGUUUGGAAGCAAAUGACGAUCCAAGCCAUAGAGGCCAAAUGCUGCAACCGAGCAGACUGAAGCCAUCGUGUCAUGACGGCGUCUAAGUUGGACCAGAGGUGUAUCCAGGAUUUCGAGAGGAUGGAUGCGCUAUUAUGAAAACACUUCCGAGUGUGGGUUCACACAUCUAUAUAUAUAAAUAUUUUUAGAAAAAUAUAACACUACUAUAUAUGAUCUAGGGUGGGGAGCAUGGGUUCACGUGAACCCGGUGACCCCCACCUAGAUAUGCCCCUGGUUGGAACUACUUAGAAGUACUAUAAAGAGUAAGGGUUUUAGGAUAAGUCGAAGUAAGACAGAGUAGGGGUUUUAGGAUAAGCCAAAGUAAGACAAAGCAUAAGCGUUUAAGGAUAAGUCGAAGUAAGAGUAAGUUUUAGAAUAUGUAGAACCAAUAAGAAUAUGCAAUUUUAGCUUCGUAAGAAGAAUGAAAGUAAGGUGAGACUAGGCAGGAUUGUGGUGCAUAAAUGAAGACAAUUCAAAAAGUUAAGCUCAAUCUUCCAGGAGAAUGACAUGAUAAACGAA